UACGUAGGGGGCAAGCGUUGUCCGGAAUUAUUGGGCGUAAAGAGCUCGUAGGCGGUUUGUCGCGUCGACUGUGAAAACCCGAGGCUUAACCUCGGGCCUGCAGUCGAUACGGGCAGACUAGAGUUCGGUAGGGGAGACUGGAAUUCCUGGUGUAGCGGUGAAAUGCGCAGAUAUCAGGAGGAACACCGGUGGCGAAGGCGGGUCUCUGGGCCGAUACUGACGCUGAGGAGCGAAAGCGUGGGGAGCGAACAGG
This 253-nucleotide ribosomal RNA is filed under the name uncultured bacterium. RNAcentral describes it as "partial 16S ribosomal RNA". It matches the Rfam family "Bacterial small subunit ribosomal RNA", at positions 524 to 776 of the family's 1533-position model. The record is from RNAcentral.